UAGUGUUUGCAACUUGAGCUCUUCAUAAGAGGUAAUCGAACAAUUGGCCAGGUAAGCAGGUGGAAGGCUCCCCUUACUCAGAGAGUAAGGUCCUAAUUACGUAACCACCUUUCAUGCUUUCCUAGACACCAAUUAGAUCAAUUAAUCUAAUAUGACUUGCUCAUGUUGGUUCACUCUCGACUUGAUUGAGGAGGUUUUAAUUUAGGUCUCAAUUGGGUUUGCUACAUCACAUGUAAACCUAUCUACCCUGCUUUCAUUCACAUCACAUGCAAACGGCACAUCAUAGGCAGUUAUAAUCGCAGCAUCAAA
This 309-nucleotide long non-coding RNA is filed under the name Phoenix dactylifera (date palm). RNAcentral describes it as "long non-coding RNA (PDAC_LNC011679)". The record is from RNAcentral. Lineage: Eukaryota; Viridiplantae; Streptophyta; Magnoliopsida; Arecales; Arecaceae.